RNAcentral lists this ribosomal RNA (548 nucleotides) under uncultured bacterium. RNAcentral describes it as "partial 16S rRNA". It matches the Rfam family "Bacterial small subunit ribosomal RNA", at positions 355 to 896 of the family's 1533-position model. The record is from RNAcentral.
UGGGGAAUAUUGCGCAAUGGGGGGAACCCUGACGCAGCCAUGCCGCGUGAAUGAAGAAGGCCUUCGGGUUGUAAAGUUCUUUCGGUAUUGAGGAAGGUUGAUGUGUUAAUAGCACAUCAAAUUGACGUUAAAUACAGAAGAAGCACCGGCUAACUCCGUGCCAGCAGCCGCGGUAAUACGGAGGGUGCGAGCGUUAAUCGGAAUAACUGGGCGUAAAGGGCACGCAGGCGGUUAUUUAAGUGAGGUGUGAAAGCCCCGGGCUUAACCUGGGAAUUGCAUUUCAGACUGGGUAACUAGAGUACUUUAGGGAGGGGUAGAAUUCCACGUGUAGCGGUGAAAUGCGUAGAGAUGUGGAGGAAUACCGAAGGCGAAGGCAGCCCCUUGGGAAUGUACUGACGCUCAUGUGCGAAAGCGUGGGGAGCAAACAGGAUUAGAUACCCUGGUAGUCCACGCUGUAAACGCUGUCGAUUUGGGGGUUGGGGUUUAUNUNNNACGCCCGUAGCUAACGUGAUAAAUCGNCCGCCUGNNCUANNNNUNCCGCAAGGUUA